RNAcentral lists this microRNA precursor (56 nucleotides) under Sarcophilus harrisii (Tasmanian devil). Its description in RNAcentral is "Sha-Mir-7397_pre stem-loop". The record is from RNAcentral. Lineage: Eukaryota; Metazoa; Chordata; Mammalia; Dasyuromorphia; Dasyuridae.
UAUCUGUAUGUCUUGGUAACACAUGUAAAUAAAUGUGACCAAGACCUACAGAUUCU